This 1539-nucleotide ribosomal RNA is filed under the name Erwinia sp. Ejp617. RNAcentral's name for it is "bacterial SSU rRNA". It matches the Rfam family "Bacterial small subunit ribosomal RNA". Lineage: Bacteria; Pseudomonadati; Pseudomonadota; Gammaproteobacteria; Enterobacterales; Erwiniaceae. The record is from RNAcentral.
AGAGUUUGAUCAUGGCUCAGAUUGAACGCUGGCGGCAGGCCUAACACAUGCAAGUCGAACGGUAGCGGGAAGAAGCUUGCUUCUUUGCCGACGAGUGGCGGACGGGUGAGUAAUGUCUGGGAAACUGCCCGAUGGAGGGGGAUAACUACUGGAAACGGUAGCUAAUACCGCAUAACGUCUACGGACCGAAAGUGGGGGACCUUCGGGCCUCACACCAUCGGAUGUGCCCAGAUGGGAUUAGCUUGUAGGUGGGGUAACGGCUCACCUAGGCGACGAUCCCUAGCUGGUCUGAGAGGAUGACCAGCCACACUGGAACUGAGACACGGUCCAGACUCCUACGGGAGGCAGCAGUGGGGAAUAUUGCACAAUGGGCGCAAGCCUGAUGCAGCCAUGCCGCGUGUAUGAAGAAGGCCUUCGGGUUGUAAAGUACUUUCAGCGGGGAGGAAGGGUAAAAGGUUAAUAACCUUUUUCAUUGACGUUACCCGCAGAAGAAGCACCGGCUAACUCCGUGCCAGCAGCCGCGGUAAUACGGAGGGUGCAAGCGUUAAUCGGAAUUACUGGGCGUAAAGCGCACGCAGGCGGUCUGUCAAGUCGGAUGUGAAAUCCCCGGGCUUAACCUGGGAACUGCAUUCGAAACUGGCAGGCUAGAGUCUUGUAGAGGGGGGUAGAAUUCCAGGUGUAGCGGUGAAAUGCGUAGAGAUCUGGAGGAAUACCGGUGGCGAAGGCGGCCCCCUGGACAAAGACUGACGCUCAGGUGCGAAAGCGUGGGGAGCAAACAGGAUUAGAUACCCUGGUAGUCCACGCCGUAAACGAUGUCGACUUGGAGGCUGUUCCCCUGAGGAGUGGCUUCCGGAGCUAACGCGUUAAGUCGACCGCCUGGGGAGUACGGCCGCAAGGUUAAAACUCAAAUGAAUUGACGGGGGCCCGCACAAGCGGUGGAGCAUGUGGUUUAAUUCGAUGCAACGCGAAGAACCUUACCUGGCCUUGACAUCCACGGAAUUUUGCAGAGAUGCGGAAGUGCCUUCGGGAACCGUGAGACAGGUGCUGCAUGGCUGUCGUCAGCUCGUGUUGUGAAAUGUUGGGUUAAGUCCCGCAACGAGCGCAACCCUUAUCCUUUGUUGCCAGCGAUUCGGUCGGGAACUCAAAGGAGACUGCCGGUGAUAAACCGGAGGAAGGUGGGGAUGACGUCAAGUCAUCAUGGCCCUUACGGCCAGGGCUACACACGUGCUACAAUGGCGCAUACAAAGAGAAGCGACCUCGCGAGAGCAAGCGGACCUCAUAAAGUGCGUCGUAGUCCGGAUCGGAGUCUGCAACUCGACUCCGUGAAGUCGGAAUCGCUAGUAAUCGUAGAUCAGAAUGCUACGGUGAAUACGUUCCCGGGCCUUGUACACACCGCCCGUCACACCAUGGGAGUGGGUUGCAAAAGAAGUAGGUAGCUUAACCUUCGGGAGGGCGGCUUACCACUUUGUUGAUUCAUGACUGGGUGGAAGUCGUAACAAGGUAACCGUAGGGAACCGUGCGGUUGGAGUCACCUCCUUA